GGAAUCUUCAUCGGGUUCAUUAUAAUUCCUAUUGGAGACAAAUAUGGUGAUUCCGACCAGUUCGUGUAUUUUUCCAGUUCGUGGAUUUCAUUUAGGAGGAAGUUCUCAUGCGUGGCCAGUUUUUCAACAAAUCUCUUCUGUUGGUUUUGUGCAUACUUACAGAGAGGAACAAUACUUGAUGUAUUGUAAAUGAUUUCCAGUUCUUUGGCUACUAUUGGUGAAAUGGUAAACCAGACCGGGAACCCAUACAAUAAAAUAGGCCUUAUCGCUACUUUAUAGAGAAGUAGUUUUGUGUUCUGGGAUCGUGCGUGCUGGUUGAAUUUGAAAAGGUUGGUGAAAUGAACCCCCAGAUAUUUUAUUGACGUUUUCAAUGGGAUUUCAAUGUCUUCCAAUGUCAACCGUAACAGCUUACUUUCUGGGACUACAUAUUUUGCACAUUUUCCAGAGGCGUUUCGGAAGCAAAUUGCGGCUGAUUUUGAAGCGUUGAUUUGCAUACCCCACGUUUUGUAGUAGCUGUUGAUAAUAUUUAAAUGGGCUUUUACGCUAUUCAGAGCGGUUGUCGGUGAAGCGUAGUGCGAGUAAAUCAAGCAAUCGUCCGCGUAAAGAAUCGAUUGCGAAUUUUGGCCAAUGUGGGGAAAAUCGUACAGAAAAAAGUUAAACAUAUGUGGCGCCAACACACUUCCUUGAGGUACACCACUCCUUACUAACCUAUUGAGGAAGAUAUACCAUUGAUGUGCACCAUGAAUUUGCGGCAAUUGAAGAAACUAAGCAUCAUUUUUAUGAGGUAUAGAUCUAUGCCAAUUUCAAUGAGCUUAUAUAGAAUUCCAACAUGACAUACGGAGUCGAAAGCUUUUGAAUAUCCAAAGAUACAGCAACGGUGCACUUUUGAUUUCUUAAAUUUGAUGUUAUGUCGUUGUGGAACUUGAGGAGACCGAUUCAAGUAUUUUUCCAACGUUUGAAAGAAGUGAAAUUGGCCUGAAGUCGUCCACCGUGGUG
Molecule: long non-coding RNA, 996 nt
Organism: Musca domestica (house fly)
Lineage: Eukaryota; Metazoa; Arthropoda; Insecta; Diptera; Muscidae
Exons: 4
Source: RefSeq, a predicted model, not a curated record